GAUGAAGAACGCAGCGAAAUGCGAUAAGUAAUGUGAAUUGCAGAAUUCAGUGAAUCAUCGAAUCUUUGAACGCACCUUGCGCUCUUUGGUAUUCCGAAGAGCAUGCCUGUUUGAGUGUCAUGAAAAUAUCAACCUUGACUUGGGUUUUGUGCUCUAGUCUCGGCUUGGAAUUGGGUGCUUGCCGCUUUUACGAGCGGCUCACCUUAAAUGUAUUAGCUGGAUCUGUCUUUGAGACUUGGUUUGACUUGGCGUAAUAAGUAUUUCGCUAAGGACAUUCUUCGGAGUGGCCUCGUUUCUAGGACGCUUGUCCACUUUCCAAUACAAGUUCCACCUCGUGGACAUGACUUUUUAUUAUCUGGCCUCAAAUCAGGUAGGACUACCCGCUGAACUUAAGCAUAUCAAUAAGCGGAGGA
RNAcentral lists this unclassified non-coding RNA (413 nucleotides) under soil metagenome. Its description in RNAcentral is "partial contains 5.8S ribosomal RNA, internal transcribed spacer 2, and large subunit ribosomal RNA". The stretch from base 1 to 120 matches the Rfam family "5.8S ribosomal RNA", at positions 35 to 154 of the family's 154-position model. The record is from RNAcentral.